GGUCGAGUCGGCCUGCGCGGAAGAUGUAACGGGGCUAAACCAUGCACCGAAGCUGCGGCAGCGAACGUAUCACUUAAAGCGAUUCAGCGUCUUACGAUUGACGGAGCGAAGCGACGUCAAAGCGUAUACAAAGUCGAGUCGGUUUAAGGAUACGUUCGUUGGGUAGGGGAGCGUUCUGUAAGCCGUUGAAGGUGUGCUGUGAGGCAUGCUGGAGGUAUCAGAAGUGCGAAUGCUGACAUAAGUAACGAUAAAGCGGGUGAAAAGCCCGCUCGCCGGAAGACCAAGGGUUCCUGUCCAACGUUAAUCGGGGCAGGGUGAGUCGACCCCUAAGGCGAGGCCGAAAGGCGUAGUCGAUGGGAAACAGGUUAAUAUUCCUGUACUUGGUGUUACUGCGAAGGGGGGACGGAGAAGGCUAUGUCGGCCGGGCGACGGUUGUCCCGGUUUAAGCGUGCAGGUGGAACGACCAGGUAAAUCCGGUUGUUCAUUAACACUGAGGCGUGAUGACGAGGCACUAAGGUGCUGAAG
This 525-nucleotide ribosomal RNA is filed under the name Citrobacter rodentium. RNAcentral's name for it is "bacterial LSU rRNA". It matches the Rfam family "Bacterial large subunit ribosomal RNA", at positions 1147 to 1590 of the family's 2925-position model. The record is from RNAcentral. Lineage: Bacteria; Pseudomonadati; Pseudomonadota; Gammaproteobacteria; Enterobacterales; Enterobacteriaceae.